AAGUCGUAACAAGGUUUCCGUAGGUGAACCUGCGGAAGGAUCAUUAUUGAAUUAGCGAGGGCUGUCUGCUGGCCCCUUCGGGGGCAUGUGCACGUCCGAGCCGUUUAAAUCAACACCUGUGAACUCACCGUAGGCCUUCGGGCUUAUGUAUCAUAAUAUACUCAGAUCAUAGAAUGUAUGUUUUGCCUUUAAAAAAGCAAUCAAAUACAACUUUCAACAACGGAUCUCUUGGCUCUC
Molecule: unclassified non-coding RNA, 237 nt
Filed under: Tylospora sp.
Lineage: Eukaryota; Fungi; Basidiomycota; Agaricomycetes; Atheliales; Atheliaceae
Description: partial internal transcribed spacer region
Rfam family: Eukaryotic small subunit ribosomal RNA (bases 1-46)
Source: RNAcentral